This 625-nucleotide long non-coding RNA is filed under the name Sus scrofa (pig). Its description in RNAcentral is "lncRNA (ENSSSCG00005017706.1)". The record is from RNAcentral. Lineage: Eukaryota; Metazoa; Chordata; Mammalia; Artiodactyla; Suidae.
AGUAAUCACUGGCGAGCAAUAAUGUGAUAGGGCAUCAGGAGGAAGAGAGCUUGUCGUGCUAAGACAUUCUGAAAAUAAACUAUACUUUCUUUUUCUUUCUUUCAUCACAGGUGUAAUACUUCUCCACAUCUGCUUCAGGAAGAAAGUGCCUGCUACUCUUACUGUUUCUACGCAGGUUCAUGCCAGCCCAGAACGCAGAAUCAGAUGGUUUUCUCUGCUUUCUGAAUCAGUGCACGGUGGUUGGUUGUGGUUUCCCCAGAGCUAAUAACCUUGGUUGUCAUAAUCCAGAUUCUGACUUGCAGGUGAGAGGAUCCAACGGUCUCAAGUUAUGAAGCCUGUCGGUUCUGUUCCGUCAGUGGUUGUGGGAAGGACCCAGUUAUGUGUUCGCAAGACUGUUGCCUUUCGCUGAGUGGGGAAAGGGCACAUUCUCUAAGGACUUGUGUGUAGGAAGAAAAUAACUAUCUUUUUGUAUCAUAACUGAAGCAAACCAUUAUCCAUGGAAAAAUUUUUUUUGAGAUUUUAAGUUCUGAUACACUGUUGGCUUUUUCUUACCUUUGUUAAGUGUAGGGAUUUUGUGGCAAACUUAGUUUCCCCAGCUCACAUUUUAUGGGUCUGGAAUGGGGAA